RNAcentral lists this transfer RNA (74 nucleotides) under Pontibacillus litoralis JSM 072002. It matches the Rfam family "tRNA". From Rfam's summary of the family: Transfer RNA (tRNA) molecules are approximately 80 nucleotides in length. Their secondary structure includes four short double-helical elements and three loops (D, anti-codon, and T loops). Further hydrogen bonds mediate the characteristic L-shaped molecular structure. tRNAs have two regions of fundamental functional importance: the anti-codon, which is responsible for specific mRNA codon recognition, and the 3' end, to which the tRNAs corresponding amino acid is attached (by aminoacyl-tRNA synthetases). tRNAs cope with the degeneracy of the genetic code in two manners: having more than one tRNA (with a specific anti-codon) for a particular amino acid; and 'wobble' base-pairing, i.e. permitting non-standard base-pairing at the 3rd anti-codon position. The record is from Rfam by way of RNAcentral. Lineage: Bacteria; Bacillati; Bacillota; Bacilli; Caryophanales; Bacillaceae.
GCUUCCAUAGCUCAGCUCGGUAGAGCACUUCCAUGGUAAGGAAGAGGUCGCCGGUUCAAGUCCGGCUGGGAGCU